CAAAAUGUAGCUUAAUAAAAGCCCCCCGCUUACACCAGGAAGUUAUCCGUGCAACCCAGAUCAUUUUGAG
This 70-nucleotide transfer RNA is filed under the name Polypedates leucomystax (Java whipping frog). RNAcentral describes it as "tRNA-Val". Lineage: Eukaryota; Metazoa; Chordata; Amphibia; Anura; Rhacophoridae. The record is from RNAcentral.